Molecule: ribosomal RNA, 253 nt
Filed under: uncultured bacterium
Lineage: Bacteria
Description: partial 16S ribosomal RNA
Rfam family: Bacterial small subunit ribosomal RNA
Source: RNAcentral
UACGAAGGGUGCAAGCGUUACUCGGAAUUACUGGGCGUAAAGGGCGCGUAGGCGGCCUCUUAAGUCGAACGUGAAAUCCCCGGGCUCAACCCGGGAACUGCGUCCGAUACUGGGGGGCUUGAAUCCGGGAGAGGGAUGUGGAAUUCCAGGUGUAGCGGUGAAAUGCGUAGAUAUCUGGAGGAACACCGGUGGCGAAGGCGGCAUCCUGGACCGGUAUUGACGCUGAGGCGCGAAAGCCAGGGGAGCAAACGGG